This 1843-nucleotide ribosomal RNA is filed under the name Streptomyces albus. RNAcentral describes it as "partial 23S ribosomal RNA". It matches the Rfam family "Bacterial large subunit ribosomal RNA", at positions 1210 to 2925 of the family's 2925-position model. Lineage: Bacteria; Bacillati; Actinomycetota; Actinomycetes; Kitasatosporales; Streptomycetaceae. The record is from RNAcentral.
CUAACGGGGGCUGGGGUGGGUAGGGGAGCGUCGUGUGCCGGGUGAAGCAGCCGUGGAAGCGAGUUGUGGACGGUUCACGAGUGAGAAUGCAGGCAUGAGUAGCGAUACAUGCGUGAGAAACGUGUGCGCCGAUUGACUAAGGGUUCCUGGGUCAAGCUGAUCUGCCCAGGGUAAGUCGGGACCUAAGGCGAGGCCGACAGGCGUAGUCGAUGGAGAACCGGUUGAUAUUCCGGUACCCGCUAUGCAGCGUCAAACAUCGAAUCAGGUGAUGCUAAGUCCGUGAUACCGCUUGUGCCGGCUUUGCCGGUGCGGGUUUGGUGGAGCCGACGGCCCGAGCUUGUAGUAGGUGAGUGAUGGGGUGACGCAGUGAGGUAGUCCAGCCCGGGUGAUGGUUGUCCCGGGGUAAGGGUGUAGCCCGGUGUGCAGGUAAAUCCGUGCGCCGUUACAGGGGUGAGACCUGAUGCCGAGCCGUUUGUGGUGAAGUGGGUGAUCCUGUGCUGUCGAGAAAAGCCUCUAGCGAGUUGUGUGGCGGCCCGUACCCUAAACCGACUCAGGUGGUCUGGUAGAGAAUACCGAGGCGUUCGGGUGAACUAUGGUUAAGGAACUCGGCAAAAUGCCCCCGUAACUUCGGGAGAAGGGGGGCCUCCUCUGGUGAUCCAGCGUGCUUGGUGAGCUGGGGGUGGCCGCAGAGACCAGCGAGAAGCGACUGUUUACUAAAAACACAGGUCCGUGCGAAGCCGUAAGGCGAUGUAUACGGACUGACGCCUGCCCGGUGCUGGAACGUUAAGGGGACCGGUUAGCUCCAUUUCGGUGGGGUGAAGCUGAGAACUUAAGCGCCAGUAAACGGCGGUGGUAACUAUAACCAUCCUAAGGUAGCGAAAUUCCUUGUCGGGUAAGUUCCGACCUGCACGAAUGGCGUAACGACUUCUUGACUGUCUCAACCAUAGGCCCGGUGAAAUUGCAGUACGAGUAAAGAUGCUCGUUUCGCGCAGCAGGACGGAAAGACCCCGGGACCUUUACUACAGCUUGAUAUUGGUGUUCGGUUCGGCUUGUGUAGGAUAGGUGGGAGACUGUGAAGCGGGCACGCCAGUGUUCGUGGAGUCGUUGUUGAAAUACCACUCUGGUCGUGCUGGAUGUCUAACCUGGGUCCGUGAUCCGGAUCGGGGACAGUGUCUGGUGGGUAGUUUAACUGGGGCGGUUGCCUCCUAAAGGGUAACGGAGGCGCCCAAAGGUUCCCUCAGCCUGGUUGGUCAUCAGGUGGUGAGUGUAAGUGCACAAGGGAGCUUGACUGUGAGACUGACGGGUCGAGCAGGGACGAAAGUCGGGACUAGUGAUCCGGCGGUGGCUUGUGGAAGCGCCGUCGCUCAACGGAUAAAAGGUACCCCGGGGAUAACAGGCUGAUCUUCCCCAAGAGUCCAUAUCGACGGGAUGGUUUGGCACCUCGAUGUCGGCUCGUCGCAUCCUGGGGCUGGAGUCGGUCCCAAGGGUUGGGCUGUUCGCCCAUUAAAGCGGUACGCGAGCUGGGUUUAGAACGUCGUGAGACAGUUCGGUCCCUAUCCGCUGCGCGCGUUGGAGUCUUGAGAAGGGCUGUCCCUAGUACGAGAGGACCGGGACGGACGGACCUCUGGUGUGCCAGUUGUUCUGCCAAGGGCAUGGCUGGUUGGCUACGUUCGGGAAGGAUAACCGCUGAAAGCAUCUAAGCGGGAAGCCUGCUUCGAGAUGAGGACUCCCGCCCCCUUUGAGGGGUUAAGGCUCCCUGGAGAUGACGGGGUUGAUAGGCCGGAUCUGGAAGCACGGUAACGUGUGGAGGUGACCGGUACUAAUAGGCCGAGGGCUUGUCCGU